AUGUCAUAUGUGAGACUGGAUUCACCAUCACCACGAAAAAGGGAGAGAGAAGGGCUAAUAAAAUCCGCACAAGCAAAUCGGAGUUACUAUGUGGACCGUGAAACCGGCGGCGAUGCCGAAUCAAUUUCUUAUGAGACCCACCGUAGCAACUUCUGUCGGCUAUUCACAGCCACCACCACCGCAUAAUGUUAUGAUCGAGAAUUCUUCUGAAAUUUUCUGAGCUCAAUUUCUUAAUUUGUGAAUUGAUUUGUGGCAAGAGCGACUCCAUGGGACUUGGAGCCAUCUCGUCUCUGCUACAUAUAUGUGGGCAAGAGCAGUGCUACUUAUGCAACAGGUAACUCCAGUGUUUUUCUUUGGGUUUUAGCUAAGAUUUUUAGGCUAUAUGAAUUGCAUUUGGUUUGGACUAUAUGUUAUCUGUGUGGAAUCGAAUCAAAAUUAUCAAUCUGGUUCGUCGGAGUUGGAUCAAUUGUGGAAGUGACAAUUGCUAG
Non-coding RNA from Arabidopsis thaliana (thale cress), 488 nucleotides. NCBI's taxonomy places the organism in Eukaryota, Viridiplantae, Streptophyta, Magnoliopsida, Brassicales, Brassicaceae. The record is from RefSeq.